This 469-nucleotide ribosomal RNA is filed under the name bacterium enrichment culture clone ALO1_GLFRUDD03GKKWK. RNAcentral describes it as "bacterial SSU rRNA". It matches the Rfam family "Bacterial small subunit ribosomal RNA", at positions 9 to 524 of the family's 1533-position model. The record is from RNAcentral.
GAGUUUGAUCGUGGCUCAGAGCGAACGCUGGCGGCAUGCUUAACACAUGCAAGUCGCACGGUCAGCAAUGGCAGUGGCGGACGGGUGAGUAACACGUAGGAAUCUAUCUCUGGGUGGGGGACAACAGUGGGAAACUACUGCUAAUACCGCAUGAUACCUGAGGGUCAAAGGCGUAAGUCGCCUGGAGAGGAGCCUGCGUCUGAUUAGCUUGUUGGUGGGGUAAAGGCCUACCAAGGCUACGAUCAGUAGCUGGUCUGAGAGGAUGAUCAGCCACAUUGGGACUGAGACACGGCCCAAACUCCUACGGGAGGCAGCAGUGGGGAAUAUUGGACAAUGGGCGAAAGCCUGAUCCAGCAAUGCCGCGUGUGUGAAGAAGGUCUUCGGAUUGUAAAGCACUUUUGGCAGGGACGAUGAUGACGGUACCUGCAGAAUAAGCCCCGGCUAACUUCGUGCCAGCCGCCGCGGUAAU